CCUACGGGUGGCUGCAGUGGGGAAUAUUGCACAAUGGGGGAAACCCUGAUGCAGCGACGCCGCGUGAGUGAAGAAGUAUUUCGGUAUGUAAAGCUCUAUCAGCAGGGAAGCUAAUGACGGUACGUGACUAAGAAGCCCCGGCUAACUACGUGCCAGCAGCCGCGGGAAUACGUAGGGGGCAAGCGUUAUCCGGAUGUACUGGGUGUAAAGGGAGCGUAGGUGGCAGGGCAAGUCAGAUGUUAAAACCCGGGGGCCCACCCACGGAGUGCAUUUGAAACUGUCCAGCUGGAGUGCAGGAGAGGUAAGCGGAAUUCCUAGUGUAGCGGUGAAAUGCAUAGAUAUUAGGAGGAACACCAGUGGCGAAGGCAGCUUACUGGACUGUAACUGACACUGAGGCUCGAAAGCGUGGGGAGCAAACAGGAUUAGAUACCCGGGUAGUC
RNAcentral lists this ribosomal RNA (440 nucleotides) under uncultured bacterium. RNAcentral describes it as "partial 16S ribosomal RNA". It matches the Rfam family "Bacterial small subunit ribosomal RNA", at positions 338 to 795 of the family's 1533-position model. The record is from RNAcentral.